This 161-nucleotide ribosomal RNA is filed under the name uncultured bacterium. Its description in RNAcentral is "partial 16S ribosomal RNA". It matches the Rfam family "Bacterial small subunit ribosomal RNA", at positions 355 to 507 of the family's 1533-position model. The record is from RNAcentral.
UGGGGAAUAUUGCACAAUGGCCGGAAGCCUGAUGCAGCGACGCCGCGUGGGGGAUGACGGCCUUCGGAAUACCGAUAGCCGUUGGUCCUGGUAUAACUCCUUUCACCAUCGACGAAGGGUUUGUGACGGUACAUGGAUAAGAAGCACCGGCUAACUACGUG